This 72-nucleotide transfer RNA is filed under the name Ictidomys tridecemlineatus (thirteen-lined ground squirrel). RNAcentral's name for it is "Spermophilus tridecemlineatus (thirteen-lined ground squirrel) tRNA". It matches the Rfam family "tRNA". From Rfam's summary of the family: Transfer RNA (tRNA) molecules are approximately 80 nucleotides in length. The record is from Rfam by way of RNAcentral. Lineage: Eukaryota; Metazoa; Chordata; Mammalia; Rodentia; Sciuridae.
UGGGUUGUGGUUCAGUGGUAGAGCCCUUACCUAGUAUGUGUGAGGUACUGGGUUUGAUCCCCAGCAUCACAU